UACGUAGGGUCCGAGCGUUGUCCGGAAUUACUGGGCGUAAAGAGCUCGUAGGUGGUUUGUCGCGUUGUUCGUGAAAACUCACAGCUUAACUGUGGGCGUGCGGGCGAUACGGGCAGACUAGAGUACUGCAGGGGAGACUGGAAUUCCUGGUGUAGCGGUGGAAUGCGCAGAUAUCAGGAGGAACACCGGUGGCGAAGGCGGGUCUCUGGGCCACUACUGACGCUGAGAAGCGAAAGCGUGGGGAGCGAACAGG
RNAcentral lists this ribosomal RNA (253 nucleotides) under uncultured bacterium. Its description in RNAcentral is "partial 16S ribosomal RNA". It matches the Rfam family "Bacterial small subunit ribosomal RNA", at positions 524 to 776 of the family's 1533-position model. The record is from RNAcentral.